This 557-nucleotide ribosomal RNA is filed under the name Phenylobacterium sp. TDB-079. RNAcentral's name for it is "bacterial SSU rRNA". It matches the Rfam family "Bacterial small subunit ribosomal RNA", at positions 102 to 694 of the family's 1533-position model. The record is from RNAcentral. Lineage: Bacteria; Pseudomonadati; Pseudomonadota; Alphaproteobacteria; Caulobacterales; Caulobacteraceae.
ACGGGUGAGUAACACGUGGGAACGUGCCCUUUGGUACGGAACAACUGAGGGAAACUUCAGCUAAUACCGUAUGUGCCCUUCGGGGGAAAGAUUUAUCGCCAUUGGAGCGGCCCGCGUUGGAUUAGGUAGUUGGUGAGGUAAAGGCUCACCAAGCCUACGAUCCAUAGCUGGUCUGAGAGGAUGAUCAGCCACACUGGGACUGAGACACGGCCCAGACUCCUACGGGAGGCAGCAGUAGGGAAUCUUGCGCAAUGGGCGAAAGCCUGACGCAGCCAUGCCGCGUGAAUGAUGAAGGUCUUAGGAUUGUAAAAUUCUUUCACCGGGGACGAUAAUGACGGUACCCGGAGAAGAAGCCCCGGCUAACUUCGUGCCAGCAGCCGCGGUAAUACGAAGGGGGCUAGCGUUGCUCGGAAUUACUGGGCGUAAAGGGCGCGUAGGCGGAUAGUUUAGUCAGAGGUAAAAGCCCAGGGCUCAACCUUGGAACUGCCUUUGAUACUGGCUAUCUUGAGUACGGGAGAGGUGUGUGGAACUCCGAGUGUAGAGGUGAAAUUCGUAGA